This 6023-nucleotide long non-coding RNA is filed under the name Equus caballus (horse). Its description in RNAcentral is "lncRNA (ENSECAG00000056727.1)". The record is from RNAcentral. Lineage: Eukaryota; Metazoa; Chordata; Mammalia; Perissodactyla; Equidae.
AAACAAAGUGAAAUAACCAAAGUAUCAGAAGAUAUCAAAAGUAUAAUGACAAAAUUCAAGAAUUUGAAGAGAAAUUACACAAAACUACAAAUUCCACAAAUUCUACAAAUUCCACAUCAGUAUUCUUAAUAAGAAAGUUCAUGAAGUUUUAAUUAUAGCCUGGGCUACAGAAAGAGAUCUUCACACAGAGAGAAUGGAAGUGGCCACCUCCGAAAGGUCCUUAGAAAAUAAGCCAUUAGAUAGCUUGGCUUUGAUGGCCAACGCCAGACACAUACAUUCACCAAAUAUUUUCACAAAAAGGGCAUGAAAACCAAGGGGACUCUUUGGCUCUCACAUUGAAAUUGGGGAAGUUUUCUACCAUCCAUCAAAGAUGUCCCAACUUGUGAGGUCUUCCUCUGCUGGAGAUGGAAGGUUUGGGCUUUUAUCUGAGAAAGAAUCUACAACUAGUCCUAGUGAGUCAUCAAAAGUACUCAGUAAAUUAAUGGGCUCAGAGUUGGGCCCUCUUGUGGCCACAUCUAUAGCCCUAAGCAGACUGGAUUCUUCUAGGAUGAGGAGUGAUGUUUUUUACACUGGUGCCCCUGACAUCAGCUUUUCCUACAAAUGCCAGCAUGAUCUCACCAAUUGGAGGACACCCAUCCCUAAGUAGUACAUUUAGAACGUGUCCUCAUCCGUGGGAACCUGAUGGCCUUCCAGCCCACCUCUGAGUUCUGCUAAGCCAUAUCCUUAAAAGUAUCAUUCCUGGGGACUGGCCCCAUGGCCAAGUGGCUAAAGUUCUGCACACUUCGCUUUGGUGGCCCAGGUUCACAGGUUCAGAUCCUGGGUGCAGACAUACUCCACUCACCAGCCAUGCUGUGGCAGUGUCCCACAUACAAAAAAAUAGAGGGAGAUUGGCACAGAUGAUAUCUCAGGGCUAAUAUUCCUCAACCAAAAAAAGAGGAAGAUUGGCAAUGGAUGUUAGCUCAGGGCAAAAAGAAAAAAAAGUCAUUAAUGGAUUUUCACAUUGAGAAAGGGAAAAGCAGCCCUGGAUAUCUGGGAACUGGACUGGUACUAUUAUUUAUCCUGUGGUAUUGCCAGGAGUAUUCACAGCUGGGCAGUGGUAUGCUCUUAUUGAACAUAAACAGAAUAUGGGCAUCAGAUACCACACUGUAAUCAUGAUGGAUCAAGAGAAAAUGUGAGCAGUGUGUUAUUAUAUUGAAUGCAGACAAAAACCUUGAAAAUCGUUCAAACCACAUAAAUGGCAUUUUCCUCUCCUAGUUGGAACAUGAAUAACUGCUGUUUUUUUUUUUUUUUUUAACCCAUCAGAGCUUUGGCAUCACUCUCCUAUCACCUUCUGGAUAAGAUUUAUUAAGAUACCAGUUGUGCGGUUGUCCCCACUUUCUCGUAGCAUCCAAUGCCGAGCAAAGCCCUGCUUCCUUGAAUCCUCUCCAGAAAUACCUCACAUAAGUCCAACUCCUAAGUCUUUUUUAAUAUCUGAUUAUUGUGAUAGCUCAUAGUUCCCUAUAAUGUGUAUUUUAGUUCUUUUAAUUAAUCAGUAAGCCAAACUUGUUAAGCCACAGUUGUUUUCCUUAGGGUCUUUGCCUGUAAGGCAUUGACAGAAAUUGAAGUUUGCCAAGAUUCAGCUAAAACCAGGUGAGACCUUUUUGCCUCAGAGCAGGAUCCUUGAGUCAGUGAGAAUGUGCGUAUCUGAGACCUUUUGUGUGUCUACCUGUUUAGGUGCCAACUUGCCCAUGGCUGAGUGGAAAGUUAAUGUACAAUGAGCCCCAAUAUUCAAUGAAGCUUCUUUGUGUUUGGUUUAUUUUUCCUAAUUUUAAGGUGCUCUGGUACUUUUUCUUGAUCUGAUCAGAUUUGUAUUGUUCCUCAUUGAAUUUUUCUGGCCUAACACCAGCUUCUAUGGUCCCUCUGCUUGUCUAGUGUUUGUGUGUUUAUAAGAAGAAGUUUCUUUAGGAAAUAGACUUGUAUAGGCCUGAGAAGGAAAAUGAACUGAGGUUCAGAGACCUGUGGGACAACAUCAAGUGAAUCUACACAUGUGUAGUGGGAAUGAAAAGGAGAGAGAAAGAGGAAAAAACUAUUUGAAGACAUAAUGGCUGAGAACUUCCAAAAUGUAAUUAAAAAAAACAUUAACCUACACACUCAAAAAGCUCAACAAACUACAAGUAGGAUAAAUACAAAGAAUACAUACCUAGACACAUUGUAGUCAAACUGUUGAAAGCCAAAACUGGAAACUCUUGAAAGCAGCAGGAAAAAAAUAACUCAUCACAUACAAGAGAGCAGCAAUGCCUUAGUGGCUGACUUCUCAUCAGAAACUAUGGAAUCCAAAAGGCAAUGGAAUGACAUAUUUUAAGUGCUGAAAGAAACAAAAGUCUUGCCAACCAAUAACUUUAUACCCAGCAAAACUAUCAUUCAAAUCAUGCAGGCAAAAUAAAGAAAUUCUCAAAUAAACAAGGACUGAAAUCAUUGCUACCAGACUUACCUGAUAAGAAAUUCAAAAGAAAUUCUUUCAGGCUGAAAGCAAAUGAUAUCAGACAGUACUCAAAGUCAAAAGAAGAAAUGAAGAGCAUCAGAAAUGGUUAACAUGUGGACAGAUGCAUGGAUAGACAGAUAUAUUUCUCCAAGAUUUAAUAGACUGGAAUCAGACCUCAUACCAGAUUUAUCAAUAUUGCAAAAACAAACGAUUAAUUCUGUGAGAAAACAGUUGGAUAGGCUGUAUAUUUACCGCUCCUAACACGCCCGGUUAUGUCAAACCUUGGAGUCAGGCAUCCACAGGUGAGCCAAGUUAUGCUGCUAUUUGACUGCUCCAUCACCCACCCCUGUAUCUUUGCACUAAACCCUGGAGAAGGUAACAUACCAGCCCACCCAGAGAUCUCUCAAUGAUAGAGCCUAUGGAUGCCGACUAGUGGCACCUGUCUCCGGAAGCUCUUGCUUCAGGCAUCAAGGGGUAAUGAAGCAAAAACCUGUCUGGUGGUGCCACAGCCGUACAUCCUUGGGGCAGUUACAAGCGAACAGUUCACAUAACCAUCAGUAGUAACUUUUUUGGUUCUAAAAGAUGUUCAGUACUCAAAUGGUGAUGAUAACGUUAAUCUCUUAACUUUUAAGUCCGAAAAACAAAAUGAAUGAAAUCUUCAAAAUAUAUAUUUAAACUUAUUGCUGUAUUUGAGGUGCUACAAUAUAAAAAAGCAUCCAUGGGUCCAUGGAAUAAUUUAAAGGCACACAUUUUUUGUUUUUAAAUAUCUUUUUGUUUUUACUUUUUUAAAUUUCUGUUUUGUCUGCUUUUUCUCCCCAAAUCCCCCAGUACAUAGUUGUAUAUUUUAGUUGUGGGUCCUUCUAGUUGUGGUAUGUGGGACGCUGCCUCAACGUGACCUAACGAGCGGUGCCAUGUCUGCGCCCAGGAUCCAAACCAGCGAAACACUGGGCUGCCCAAGCGGAGUGCGCGAACUUAACCACUCAGCCAAGACUCAUGCUUUUUACUAGAAUGUGUCCAUGCUUGUUGAUGGAAAGAGCAACAUUAGGACUUCCAGAAACAGUGAAAUAAUUCCUUACUGACCAUCUGAAUUCCCAUCAGCCAGUUCUUACAGCUUUCCGUAGAAAUUUGUUCAAAGGAAAGACAUUGCAUCUUUAUUGUAUAGGUACAGCAGUUUUAAAGGGACAAAAUUUGAGUCAAGACAGAUGAAUUCUAAUCAAUGUAAUCACCUAAGCACCACAGAAGAUAAUAAGAAGCACAAUCAUUAGAGGAGCACAAGUAGAAGCAGGCCAUCACUAUACUAUCACUUGCGUACCACCAACCUAGACUCGAGCCAGCCUUCAGUGGGGAGCCUGCACUGGAUUGGUUGAAGAUGGCUCCUGUCCCUGCCCCAAAGUGCUUGGACAGCAGAGGAGAAAUCUUAGUUACUUACCUUCAAAGGCUACCCAUGAGGUCUGGACCAGGUGUUGGUUACUGCUCAUACUCUAACACCUGAAGAUACAUAAAUAUUAUCUCGUGAGGGUGCUUCAUGUGGAUGCAGAAACUCAGCUCUUUGAGAACUUUUCUCUCUACCUUUAUAAUUUGGUUCUUUAAGUUAACAUAAUCUUGAUCCAAUGGUAGAGGCACAAGUUCCCUUUUCUCCCUCAGGUAUCGAAGGCAACGAAACCUGUUGAUGUCAUCCUGUAUCUGCUUCUAGCUUCUUCUAUUUUGGAGUCCAGGGGAACACAGGCCAGUAACACAUGCUCUAUGGAAUGCUUUAUAAAGGACUUGGUAUAAAAGGACAACUGGAACAACACCUGUCCAGUAGCCGUGGCCACCUGCUUUCCCCUUCAAAGGUCUCCAUCCAUUAUCGUGUCACUCUAAAUCUAACCACCCUCCAUUUUCACCUAAAGAAAGAGAACCCAGUAAUUACUUACACCAUUUUGGGAACUAUCUAUGACUAGUAUGGAUCUUCUAGAUGAGCUAACUCUGGUUUUAUAUGGUUCAUACUUAAAAAGAAAAGCUAAAAAUUACGAAGCUGGGUAUGCUCUAAGAAAUUUGAAUUUGCCCUUGAAAUAUAAGCUUCAUCCACAAAUUAAAUAUUUCCAGAUGGCUAAAUUAAUUGCCUUCACCAAGACCUAUUAGCUGACAAAGAUAAAGAAGUAAAUAUUUAUAGUGAUAGUAGGUAUGAUUUUAGGUUAGUUCAUGACUUUGAAAUGCUUUAUGAACAAACAGAUGUCCUGACCAGUACAGGGUGGUGAAUUAAAGACAUCGAGGUUCUUUGCUCUUACCUGAAGUUAUAAGAAGCCAUAAAAGGAGUUUUGUAAAAAUGCUGCAUGAUAUCAUCCACAAGAGCAUGAGGGUAUUACCAAGGAUGUUUCUGAUCUUGUCCCACCCGCUGAUGACAGCCCCAACAAGACCAUGGAGGUGGGACAUGGACGCAGUUGAGGUUUUUCCCUCUGGACACUAUGGCAGUAAUGCCAGGGGGAAAAUACUGUUUUAUUUUGCAUUCCUGACUUGAGGAAUCCUAACUUAUCUUUGCAGUAAUGGGGACACAUAUUUCACUGGUACUAUUAUCAAGAACUUUAUAAGCUUUAUCUUUUAUUCAGAAACUCCAUUUUAUCAUCCACAAAUCUCAGGGAAAAUAAAUAAAUAAUGAUCAUAGCUGUCAAAAACCCUCAAACUUCCAAGGCCUUAUUCCCAUUAGCCUUGAUGGCAAUAAGCUCAAUCACUUUCAGGGUGCAGAAAUUAUCUCCUUCUGCGUUAUUAACAGGCUGCCUCAUAAGUUUAUGAAUUACUUCCAAUUCUAAAUUCUACUCUGUUAUAAGCUGAUAUGAGUAAUUAUUGCAGGGGACUCAUACAAUACCUCUGAUUUUAUCACCAAUAGGUGCGAUUUCUAAAACAGCCACCAAAGCAGUUGCUGCCUGGUCUAAGACCUGGAGAUAUGGUCCUCUGAAAAAGGCAUCAGAGAAAAACUGCCCUUGACUCUCAAGGAGAAAAGACUCUAUCAAGUAUUGUCAAUGAUUAACACAGUCAAACUCCAAGGUGUUGGUCUUUAGGCUUAUGUUGCUUGACUUAAAAGACGGACAUUUGCAUUGCAGUAGAUAAGGAGCUCUUGCACACAGAAAGCCUUUGGGAUGAAAAGAGAGCAUUUCCGACUACAAGAAAUACAUGAGGCGAGGAUAUCUGGGGGCCGGAUAAACAAAGAUCUCCUUUAAAUAACUUGCAAAGACAGUCCUGUCCUCAGCAGCCUGGGGCUCCCAGAUGUCAGAUUACAUAUCUGGUGUAAUUGAAAAUCCACCUGGAGGCAAGCAGUUGUUUACUUGGCAUUCUGGACAGCUUUACCACCAGCCCAAUGCAGAUGCUACCUCAGAAGAGCCCCCUAAAGCAAACAAAGGGUUUUUAUUUUCCCCAUCACUUUGAAAAACAACAUCUUUAUAAUUCCAAAAUGCAAUGGGUCGGAACAUUUUAAUUCCAAUUAACUUGUAGUUUUCUUUUUUUCUAAAAUAAAUUUGAAGAACAAUGGCUAAUGAGCUGCUGUACAAUAUUUGUCCUUGGCAGAGAAUGACACUCAUGGAACACUUAA